CUCUCCCCCAAAUCACUCUCUCUCGUCUCUACUCUCUUCUGCUCUCUUCGACGAACUCACACGCACACAUAUACACACCCACACACACACUAACUCUCCCUCGGACCUCCCUUGUUCCUCUUCUCCCUCUAUGAGUACAAGGACCGAGACCACCCACAUCAUUUUUCCGGCGAGUUCCUCGUCCCUUCGGCCAAGAAUCGAGGCGUACAAUCCCAGCGUCAAGGCACUCCCAAAGCGGCAUCUUUGAGUCCUCUCAAUGUAAGACCCAUUCUCUUUGUCCAUUCAAUUUUAUAUUAUUUUCCUUUUUAGUGUUCUAGAUUAGUUGUAUGCUCUGAAUACGUUCCUCAACUGCAUAUUGAUUACAUUUAAAUUUAUAAAUCUUAUUUCUUUAUUGUUCUCAUGCGUUCUAAUAUGGCUUCGUCACAUUCGGGUGUUGGCCAACACAUGCCUACCCUGGUGUUUGGGAGAAUAUCAAGGUCGGGUGUGUCAACGUCUAUAUACAGUAAAGGAAACGAAUUUCAAUCGUCACUAUAAGUAAUCAGACGAAUACCAAACUGUACCUGAAACUCCUCCAAGAAAUUGAAAUCCACGCCUACUAGAAAACCUAAGAUAUAAACUCAAUCUCCUACUACUAAGAGUUCCACAUUUUUUCACCUAGUGACUCAGGAAUGAAUGGUCAUCCACUCUUGAAUUUGGAUGUGUUUUUAGUGUUUUAAUCUCAACCCUUAGUAUCAUAUUCAAAGGUGAAUAACUAUGAAUCUUGGUCCCCAAUUAGUAACCAAGAGAUCAAGACUCGUACAAUCAAUAUUGUUUGUUAUUUAUCAUUUUGUUCCGAAUAUUAUGAUUUUUUGGACCAACUUGGAAACCCUUGCAGACUAGUAUUUGGAAACCCUUGCCGCUUUCACUGAUUAUAUAUAUAUAUAUACACUGCUAGACUUUUUUAGCUUCUGAAUUCUUACCUGCCAAUUUCUUCUCUUCCAAACUCUCAAUUUCUUCACGUCCAACUAGCUCUAGCUUUCAGAGGACCCUAGUUUUCCCCCUCUCGUCUCUAUAAUCCUUACCUUCCAGUUUUUUCUCUUUCCGGUUCUCACUAAACCCUAGCUUUCAGAAAACCCUAGUUUGUUUUUCCUUUAGUUUAGUCAAGGAGAAGUACAAACAAUGAAACUUGCAAGCACUCUUCAAGAAAAGACAAGUCGGUUCAUCAAGAAGUUGAGCAAGUCCCAAUACUCCAGGAAAAGUUACACAGCUUUAAGCAAGUCCCAGCCCCCCAAGAAAGGUUAUAUCAAUGUGUACGUUGGACAAGAAUGAAAGCUAUAUCAAAUUGCUUUGAAGUAUCUCUUGGAUCCAACUCUCCAACAACUCAUCGAGAAGUCGCAGCCGGAUGUGUUCCACGCAAAGAUUGACGGGCCAAUUGAUGAGCUUGCAUGUACGACCAACACCUUCGAUGAGUUGCUCAAGAUCUUCAGAAAGUAGUAGAUUGCGUGCACGCACUGCCUUGCUUGAUUAAUAUUGAUUAUUUGUUCAUUCUUUUGUACUUUGAAUUAAUUUUUGUAUUCGAGGUUUAUUAGUUAUUGAUUCAUAUGUACCAUAUUUAACUUAGUUUAUCGUUCAAAAAGCAUACAUCUC
Molecule: small RNA, 1626 nt
Filed under: Malus domestica (apple)
Lineage: Eukaryota; Viridiplantae; Streptophyta; Magnoliopsida; Rosales; Rosaceae
Description: sRNA MD08G0052200
Source: RNAcentral